UGGGGAAUAUUGGACAAUGGGCGCAAGCCUGAUCCAGCCAUGCCGCGUGAGUGAUGAAGGCCCUAGGGCUGUAAAGCUCUUUUACCGGUGAAGAUAAUGACGGUAACCGGAGAAGAAGCCCCGGCUAACUUCGUGCCAGCAGCCGCGGUAAUACGAAGGGGGCUAGCGUUGUUCGGAGUUACUGGGCGUAAAGCGCACGUAGGCGGACUUUUAAGUCAGGGGUGAAAUCCCGGGGCUCAACCCCGGAAGUGACUUUGAUACUGGAAGUGUUGGGGAUGGUAGAGGUGCGGGGAAGUCCGGGUGUAGAGGUGAAAUUCGUAGAUAGUCGGAGGGACACCAGUGGCGAAGGGGGCUCACUGGACCAUUACUGACGCUGAGGUGCGAAAGCGUGGGGAGCAAACAGG
RNAcentral lists this ribosomal RNA (404 nucleotides) under Actinomycetes bacterium. Its description in RNAcentral is "Actinobacteria bacterium partial 16S ribosomal RNA". It matches the Rfam family "Bacterial small subunit ribosomal RNA", at positions 355 to 776 of the family's 1533-position model. Lineage: Bacteria; Bacillati; Actinomycetota; Actinomycetes. The record is from RNAcentral.